UGGGUAACCUGCCCAAGAGAUCGGGAUAACACCUGGAAACAGAUGCUAAUACCGGAUAACAACAGAUGAUGCCUAUCAACUGUUUAAAAGAUGGUUCUGCUAUCACUCUUGGAUGGACCUACGGUGCAUUAGCUAGUUGGUAGGGUAACGGCCUACCAAGGCGAUGAUGCAUAGCCGAGUUGAGAGACUGAUCGGCCACAUUGGGACUGAGACACGGCCCAAACUCCUACGGGAGGCAGCAGGG
RNAcentral lists this ribosomal RNA (244 nucleotides) under uncultured Lactobacillus sp. RNAcentral describes it as "partial 16S ribosomal RNA". It matches the Rfam family "Bacterial small subunit ribosomal RNA", at positions 118 to 354 of the family's 1533-position model. Lineage: Bacteria; Bacillati; Bacillota; Bacilli; Lactobacillales; Lactobacillaceae. The record is from RNAcentral.